Molecule: ribosomal RNA, 497 nt
Filed under: uncultured bacterium
Lineage: Bacteria
Description: partial 16S ribosomal RNA
Rfam family: Bacterial small subunit ribosomal RNA
Source: RNAcentral
GAUGAACGCUGGCGGCGUGCCUAAUACAUGCAAGUCGAGCGAACAGACGAGGAGCUUGCUCCUCUGACGUUAGCGGCGGACGGGUGAGUAACACGUGGAUAACCUACCUAUAAGACUGGGAUAACUUCGGGAAACCGGAGCUAAUACCGGAUAAUAUCUUGAACCGCAUGGUUCAAUAGUGAAAGACGGUUUUGCUGUCACUUAUAGAUGGAUCCGCGCCGCAUUAGCUAGUUGGUAAGGUAACGGCUUACCAAGGCAACGAUGCGUAGCCGACCUGAGAGGGUGAUCGGCCACACUGGAACUGGGACACGGUCCAGACUCCUAAGGGAGGCAGCAGUAGGGAAUCUUCCGCAAUGGGCGAAAGCAUGACGGAGAAACGCCGCGUGAGUGAUGAAGGUCUUCGGAUCGUAAAACUCUGUUAUUAGGGAAGAACAAAUGUGUAAGUAACUAUGCACGUCUUGACGGUACCUAAUCAGAAAGCCACGGCUAACUACGUG